This is a long non-coding RNA of Daphnia pulicaria, 690 nucleotides long. RefSeq lists it as uncharacterized. The transcript is spliced from 3 exons. The record is from RefSeq and is a predicted model, not a curated record. Lineage: Eukaryota; Metazoa; Arthropoda; Branchiopoda; Diplostraca; Daphniidae.
GACAGUUCAUUUUCUACCAUAUGGAGUGAACCACCCCUCUCAGAGUGUUUCCUUCAACAACCUAAGGUUCUCGUCCGGGCCGUGCCCGAACUUUAAGUUAUUAAAUGGUUAAGAAGGACCCAACAAAUCGAGUGACUGCCUUUUUUGAGUGGCUGUGGUUUGAAUAUCUCAUAUUUACUGCACUGUACAUGCUUGGAAGUCGGGAGAGGAUAGUCUUUACUAGUUGUUUAGUUGCUUUCCUCGCCACGGCGAGCUAUUCGAGCUACGUGUUCCUUCCUCAUUAUCUCGGCUCUCUAUUCCAUUAUCUGGGUUACUCUGCUGUCCAGAAUUGGGAGUCAGAAAACCAUUCAUAAAAGUACAAUUCAUCCUACCUUUUCACAUCCAAAAUGGGCUCAAAGUCUGUCACUACAGAGAUUGAAAAGAGAGAAGAAGAAAUUAAGCAAUUUUAUCAUCGGAUAGAGACUGUAGAGAAAGCUCUAAGGCUCCGAGAACUCACCCCUGAUCAAAGAACUGAAUUUGAGAAGGAGCUUGAUCUGUUAAAAACUGUGUUGAAAAAUAAUGAAGAGCAGCUGAAAUCUCUUCAAAAGGAAAACUACAAAACAGGCUUCAUUGCAAUGGCUCUCAUCUUUAUUUGCUUUUUAGUUUAUGGUUUACAAGUCAUGUUUUGGAAUAAAUCUUCACAUUAAUGCA